Molecule: long non-coding RNA, 1468 nt
Filed under: Junco hyemalis (dark-eyed junco)
Lineage: Eukaryota; Metazoa; Chordata; Aves; Passeriformes; Passerellidae
Description: lncRNA (ENSJHYG00000016497.1)
Source: RNAcentral
CUUUCUUGUGGGUUUGUUGUUUGGGGGUUUUGUUUGUUUGUUUUUACUCUCGUGGUGCUGGCGGUGGCUGCGGGGCCUGGUGGGUCACACGAGGCCGGCCCGGCGCCCCGGCCCCGACAGGCGCUGAGCCGUGGGGGCGCUCCCAGAGCCGGCUUGCCGAGUAACCAAAGCAGUACAUUUCUCGCUACGUCUAGAGAGCCGGCUCCCGUGGGGAAGUGACUCUCUUCUGCUCCGUUCCCGAAAAUGAAAUAUCCUAUCCCCCGAGAUUUCAGGAUUUUACACGUCUCUGUGAGCCGUUUAGGAUUAAAUAGGGAGUUCAGAGACUAUUUUUAAAAUGUGCAUGGCCUUCUGAAGGAGCUGAAGUUUUGUUCAGCAGCUCUCUUCAAGGGGACUCAAGAUCGUCCCGAGUUUCUUUACUGAACACGGUGAGUUCCUCAGAGACAGCAUUGCUGUAUCACCAGAAGACUACCGUUCUUAAGAACUGUAUUCCCUCUUAGAAAGGCUGCUUUGGCAGACUGAGGCACAUGACUGAGAUUUUUGCCCUGAUUGCAAAGAUGUUUUGCUGCCAGUGCUGCUGGAGAGCAAACAAGUAACACCCACCCCCUUUAACUUUGAUGUCUCUAAGAAAGGAGAUAGACUGCACUGAAAAACAGAGGACACACAGGCAGCAAGAUGAACAAUGCACACGUGUACAAUGUACAUAUAUGCAUGUACUUAACAGAUAUUUGGCCCCAUGUUGACUGUUUUUCUAAGUGCAAGAACUUUUACAAGGAAAAAAAGAAGACCCUGAAGAAUGUAAUGCUACUUUAUGGAGGACAAAUCUUCCAUUUCUACCCUGACAUGAAACUCUUCAAGGUGAACAAAGAGGGAGACAUGUCUAGAAACGCACAAAGAAGCCGAGCUAAUUAAGAGAGCUCCCACUGCCUCCCUUCAUGAAAGCUGCUAUGCUUUUGAAACCCUGGAGAUGGUUUGACUGUGGAUUUGUGAGGUUAGGAAUACAGCUGGGAUGCUGAGACUGUGGGCUGGGUGGUAUGUAUAGAAUGUGUUUGAUCAGUUUCCCUGGUUGUAUUAGAAAGAGAUGGCAUAAAACAAAUGGGGUGGAAAUAGGCAGAAAGGAUGAGGAGCUCCCUCUGGAAUAGGUCUGAACUGAUUUAGAUUGUGGGAAUUCUGUGUGUGUGUGUGUGUGUGUGUGUGUGUGUGUACUAAAUGUAUUUUUCCUGGAGAUUUCAGUGAUAAUAUUUUUUCUUCUAAUCUUUAUCAAUGUUACAGAAAAUGUAUUUGAGCCUUCAGCAACAUGAGGUUCAAACCUUGCAGUUCAUUCCUUCAGAUGUUUGCAUGGCAUGCUACAGCCCUGCUUUCUGUAUGCUGACAUGCAAACAGCUUGUCAGUCUCAUCUUGCACCAUUACUAUGAUUCCUUCCUUGGUUCCUGUCACUUCCAGGUAUUCAACACUGUAAAAAUACUUUUCU